GAUGAACGCUAGCGGCAGGCCUAACACAUGCAAGUCGAGGGAGAAGCCCUUCGGGGCAGAAACCGGCGCACGGGUGCGUAACGCGUAUGCAACCUACCUUUCACAGGGGGAUAGCCCGAAGAAAUUUGGAUUAAUACCCCAUAAUAUUAUUGGGUGGCAUCAUUUGAUAAUUAAAAUUACGAUGGUGAAAGAUGGGCAUGCGUCCUAUUAGCUAGUUGGAGUGGUAACGGCACCCCAAGGCUACGAUAGGUAGGGGUCCUGAGAGGGAGAUCCCCCACACUGGUACUGAGACAGGGACCAGACUCCUACGGGAGGCAGCAGUGAGGAAUAUUGGUCAAUGGUCGGAAGACUGAACCAGCCAUGCCGCGUGCAGGAAGAAUGCCUUAUGGGUUGUAAACUGCUUUUAUAUGGGAAGAAUAAGGAGUACG
Molecule: ribosomal RNA, 428 nt
Filed under: Capnocytophaga granulosa
Lineage: Bacteria; Pseudomonadati; Bacteroidota; Flavobacteriia; Flavobacteriales; Flavobacteriaceae
Description: bacterial SSU rRNA
Rfam family: Bacterial small subunit ribosomal RNA
Source: RNAcentral